This 435-nucleotide ribosomal RNA is filed under the name Triticum aestivum (bread wheat). RNAcentral's name for it is "partial small subunit ribosomal RNA". Lineage: Eukaryota; Viridiplantae; Streptophyta; Magnoliopsida; Poales; Poaceae. The record is from RNAcentral.
AUGGCGCAUGGUCAACCUUCGGUUUCCUCCUAUCAGUUGACCUUAUUUGAAUUAGCUAAACAACAGUUGUGUGAGCCAGCAACUCAUGAAUUGGCUAACCCGGUACUUGUCCAUUCAACAUUACCACGGGGAACUUUGGAUUCUUCCCUCCGCGGAUGGCAUUCUGAGCAUUCGUUUCACGCCUUGUGUUACCAUCCAAUGGCACCCAUUCCUAGAGCUGAUCUAGACUUCACUUUAGGGACCAGGAUAGUAUCACAAAAAUUGGGUUGGGAGUAUCAUGAAAUCCAGUAUGUCAAACGUCCAAAGGGUUAUACUCAAUGGGGUGUUGAGGUCUUAAACAAUCAUUAUUUUAAUCUGCAAGGGGGCGAAGAAAAUACAGACUCUAUUCGUGGCGCCAUUUAUUGUUCCCUUUGCGAUUAUCCUGUCAGCCCCUCU